Molecule: long non-coding RNA, 612 nt
Filed under: Elaeis guineensis (African oil palm)
Lineage: Eukaryota; Viridiplantae; Streptophyta; Magnoliopsida; Arecales; Arecaceae
Description: long non-coding RNA (EGUI_LNC036603)
Source: RNAcentral
AUAUAUGGUGUAAUCAUAGAACAAAUUCUAAUCAUAAACAUCCUUUGUAUGUCGGACUGAAAAAAUUCAAGUAGCCUUUUAGAUCUAUCUCUAUAGAUUUUCAUCAUUAGGAUGAGAGAUGUUUUUCUCAAAGUUCUUUAUAGAGAACAAUAAUAACUGCAAAAUUUUUAUUUUCUAUAAUAUAAAAAAUAUCAUUUCUAAUUAAAAAAAUUUUAUUCACAUACAAGACAAGAAAUACACUCACAGAACUAUUAACCCAUUUAUAUUUGCAGGAUUUUUCUUCAUUCUCAAUGAAGCCAUACAUUUUGAUCACUUACCAAAAUACACAUUUCAACUUUAAAAUAUUUAGCAUUGCCACAAGAGAAAAUAUCUCAUUAUGGUUAAUAUCAUAAUAUUGACAAUAUCCUUAGGCAACCAGAUGAGUUUUGUAGGUCUCCAUCUUCUCAUCUGCACUCUCUGAUCCUAUUGAAGAUCUACUUACACUCUAUGAGCUUUAUCCUUCGAGUGAAUCAAUGAGUGUCCAUACACUGUUGAUCUUUAUGGACAUCAUUUCGGACUCUAUGGCUCCAAACCAUUAACCAGAGUUGGACCUCUGCAUGGUAUCCAUAUAGG